RNAcentral lists this ribosomal RNA (505 nucleotides) under Glomus sp. Glo2. RNAcentral describes it as "SSU rRNA". It matches the Rfam family "Eukaryotic small subunit ribosomal RNA", at positions 569 to 1078 of the family's 1831-position model. Lineage: Eukaryota; Fungi; Glomeromycota; Glomeromycetes; Glomerales; Glomeraceae. The record is from RNAcentral.
AGCAGCCGCGGUAAUUCCAGCUCCAAUAGCGUAUAUUAAAGUUGUUGCAGUUAAAAAGCUCGUAGUUGAAUUUCGGAAUUAGUACGUUGGUCGUGCCUUAGGUACGUACUGGUGUUACUGGUUUCUACCUUCUGACGAACCAUCAUGUCAUUAAUUUGGUGUGGCGGGGAAUCAGGACUGUUACUUUGAAAAAAUUAGAGUGUUUAAAGCAGGCUCGCGCUUGAAUACAUUAGCAUGGAAUAAUGAAAUAGGACGUUGACCCUAUUUUGUUGGUUUCUAGGAUUGACGUAAUGAUUAAUAGGGAUAGUUGGGGGCAUUAGUAUUCAAUUGUCAGAGGUGAAAUUCUUGGAUUUAUUGAAGACUAACUACUGCGAAAGCAUUUGCCAAGGAUGUUUUCAUUAAUCAAGAACGAAAGUUAGGGGAUCGAAGACGAUCAGAUACCGUCGUAGUCUUAACCAUAAACUAUGCCGACUAGGGAUCGGAUGAUGUUAUUUUUAAUGACUCA